AUUGAACGCUGGCGGCAUGCUUUACACAUGCAAGUCGAACGGUAACAGGCCUUCGGGUGCUGACGAGUGGCGAACGGGUGAGUAAUGCAUCGGAACGUGCCCAGAGGUGGGGGAUAACGCAGCGAAAGCUGUGCUAAUACCGCAUGUGAUCUGAGGAUGAAAGCGGGGGACCAGGCAGCAAUGUUUGGCCUCGCGCCUUUGGAGCGGCCGAUGUCAGAUUAGGUAGUUGGUGGGGUAAAGGCCUACCAAGCCGACGAUCUGUAGCUGGUCUGAGAGGACGACCAGCCACACUGGGACUGAGACACGGCCCAGACUCCUACGGGAGGCAGCAGUGGAGAAUUUUGGACAAUGGGCGCAAGCCUGAUCCAGCAAUGCCGCGUGCGGGAAGAAGGCCUUCGGGUUGUAAACCGCUUUUGUACGGAACGAAAAGGCUCUGGCUAAUACCUGGGGCUGAUGACGGUACCGUAAGAAUAAGCACCGGCUAACUACGUG
Molecule: ribosomal RNA, 492 nt
Filed under: uncultured bacterium
Lineage: Bacteria
Description: partial 16S ribosomal RNA
Rfam family: Bacterial small subunit ribosomal RNA
Source: RNAcentral